RNAcentral lists this long non-coding RNA (273 nucleotides) under Nicotiana benthamiana. RNAcentral's name for it is "long non-coding RNA (NBEN_LNC029364)". The record is from RNAcentral. Lineage: Eukaryota; Viridiplantae; Streptophyta; Magnoliopsida; Solanales; Solanaceae.
UACGACUUCGACGAACUCAAAUUCGGGAACGAAAUCACACUAUGACUCGAUAUGUUUCAGUUUGCAGAAAAGAAUGCAGAAUUUUUAAUGUUUUUUUCAGUAUUCGAAAAUGAGGCAUUGCCUCAGUUUAUAUAGCCUCGAAUUGUGACUGUUCGGAAAGGGUUCGGGAAAGGCCAUGCCUUUUCCUGAAAAAUAAGAACGUUGGGAAGUUUACAGUUAACAUAUUAUAUAUUAAUUUUUCCCCGCGGGAAUUAAAAUUAAUUUCAGAAAAUG